GGAGGGAGGGAAGCAGGGAAGGAGAGAAAAAGAUAAUGCCACUAUUAGUGUAAAUGAUUCUACGUAAGACCUUGGUUUGGAGCCAACAGGGUACUGGUGCGUUGCCUGCAAUCCUUACUCAGGCUGGCUGAAGCAAGAGGAUCAAGAGUACAACUUGGGAUAUAUAGGGUGUUUCAGGCAGGCUACACUAUACAGUGCUAUCUUGUCUCAAAAAUCUAAAU
Long non-coding RNA from Perognathus longimembris pacificus (Pacific pocket mouse), 221 nucleotides. RefSeq lists it as uncharacterized. Lineage: Eukaryota; Metazoa; Chordata; Mammalia; Rodentia; Heteromyidae. The record is from RefSeq and is a predicted model, not a curated record. The transcript has 2 exons.